CAGGACGUAGCUAUAACACAAAGCAUUCAGCUUACACCUGAAAGAUACCUACUGUACUCUAGGUCGUCCUGA
Molecule: transfer RNA, 72 nt
Filed under: Accipiter nisus (Eurasian sparrowhawk)
Lineage: Eukaryota; Metazoa; Chordata; Aves; Accipitriformes; Accipitridae
Description: tRNA-Val
Source: RNAcentral